This 480-nucleotide ribosomal RNA is filed under the name uncultured bacterium. Its description in RNAcentral is "partial 16S ribosomal RNA". It matches the Rfam family "Bacterial small subunit ribosomal RNA", at positions 28 to 523 of the family's 1533-position model. The record is from RNAcentral.
GACGAACGCUGGCGGCGUGCCUAACACAUGCAAGUCGAGCGAAUGAAGUUCCUUCGGGGACGGAUUUAGCGGCGGACGGGUGAGUAACACGUGGGCAACCUGCCUCAUAGAGGGGAAUAGCCUUCCGAAAGGGAGAUUAAUACCGCAUAAGAUUGUAGUACCGCAUGGUACAGCAAUUAAAGGAGCAAUCCGCUAUGAGAUGGGCCCGCGGCGCAUUAGCUAGUUGGUGGGGUAACGGCUCACCAAGGCGACGAUGCGUAGCCGACCUGAGAGGGUGAUCGGCCACAUUGGGACUGAGACACGGCCCAGACUCCUACGGGAGGCAGCAGUGGGGAAUAUUGCACAAUGGGGGAAACCCUGAUGCAGCAACGCCGCGUGAGUGAUGACGGCCUUCGGGUUGUAAAGCUCUGUCUUCAGGGACGAUAAUGACGGUACCUGAGGAGGAAGCCACGGCUAACUACGUGCCAGCCGCCGCGGUAA